Lineus longissimus is the source of this 4090-nucleotide long non-coding RNA. RefSeq lists it as uncharacterized. Lineage: Eukaryota; Metazoa; Nemertea; Pilidiophora; Heteronemertea; Lineidae. The record is from RefSeq and is a predicted model, not a curated record. The transcript is spliced from 7 exons.
CUAAGGGUGUAUUCAACUUCUCGUUCUCAAAUCUGUAUGUGAUGAAAUUCCACGUCCAUGAAACUACAGGACUUUUAUGGGUUUUUUAUUCUAAAUUCACCAGAAUUCGAAAAGUUGGUAUCCACCAAGUUCACCAUUAUGACUUUUUUCUACCAGUUUUCAUUGCAAGAUCUGUUUUAGGAAAAACUAGCAACUCUACUAUGUGAUUAAUACCCCAUACGAUUUCUAUUAGACCCAAUCCACAAUAAUCAAAAAGGUUAUUUAUUCAUGGCUUAUGGCCAAUCUCAUUACCAAUCUGGCUUCACGGCCUAUUAGUGUAUUACAUCUGACACCUUUGUUUGGUUAUCUAAGGCAACAACAGACUCAGUCAACCUUGAAGGAAAGUUUGCGUGUGUUACAUAAAACCACUACCUGUCACAUUUUAUACCUUCCAAUGCUUGGUUCAAGCAUGCAGUGCAAGCAGAAUAUUCUUUCUGGCAGGGUGUGCACACUUUGACUCAUUUCAACAUUAUGAAAUAGCCAAAUUACAUGUGUUCAGCAUCAAUGUUCCAAAAGGUGGGUGUCACCUACUAAAUCUUGACAUUAUAUCGUUUUACAGGCAAAAGGGAUUUUGGAAGAGAGCCCAACUUUCCUUUGAUUAUUUUUUUGUGGAAAAUAUGUAUUUUUAGGAGUCAUUGCAUGAGAGAAUCAGGCAAAAUCUGGUACUUUCAUUGGAUCUGGCUGAAAGUUGCUUUUUUCAUGACUUCUUGUAGAAUUGAUGAUAUUAUGUAUCUGUUUCAAUUUCUCAUUCCAGAUGCUAAAAACCCUCUCCGCGAUUGCAACUGAAGAAUCUUGUAUGAUUUGCAAGGAUGACACAACCUUGUCCGCAAUUGCAUUCGAAGAUUCUUCUUUGAUUUCCAAGAAGAAGGCUUUCAGUUGUCCAGGCCAGGCCAGGUGACCAAUGACGAUGAUAGAUUGGGUUCGAUUCAAGCUAUACGCUUGGUGUAUUUGGUUAUCGUGACUGGCGACUUGAGUCUAUCUCAUCUCAUUUCCAAAGCGCGGUGGCUGGGUCCCAGGCAUGCUUGCCACUUUGUUCUGCGGUCCUCAUCUAAGUUUCGACGGUGAUGACAUGGACUUAGGUUCAAAGUACGUGUUCCCUUUGAGUCAUUGUGGUUGAUUGAUGGGGGGAAUAAACAGUUGCGUGUCGCUAGUCAUUCAAUUGGUCCCCUUGUUUUAGAGUGUUGGCGGGAUAAGUCUUACGACUGUUAACAAUAGUAAGCAAUAGCUGGCCAGCGAUCCCCUACCUGAUCUCGAGGGGGAUGGAAUGACUGGGGUUAAGACCUGUUGUUAACCUGCGGAAUUUCGUCGGAUGAAAUGUCAGGCGUGUCCGUGUGGGACUUGUGCUGAACCUGUUUAGUACAAAUAACGAAGACAUUGGGCUCUUUGGAUAACAACAGUGUUCUUCACCUCCUUGUGCCUCACAAAGCUAAUAAUAUACACCCCCUGAAAUCGACAAGACGGCGAUGAAGAAGGAGAGCCGGCAUCCAACUCGUCAGCCGAGAAGACACUGGAUGGACCCCAAGAAGAUGUUGCUGCCAAUGUUGGAGCCAUACAGGGCAGCCCGAGCCAACAUUGUACAAGGGCAACAAGGACAAGGGACAAGGGACACAGGGACAAGGGACACAAAAGACGAUGUUGCAGUCUACAUGCCCUCUGCAGAUUGAGAUGAUGGCUGUCGAGAAGAUCCAACCACUCAACCACAGUCUACAAUUCGUGCUAUGGUAGAUGUGACUCUCAACGAUUUUGGAUGACAAAGGAAUCCAAUGCAUAUAUGUCGCUCACAGAUACGGGCAGACGACUGAGAUUCGAGUGGAUUCAGUGGAUCGAAUGGUUGCGCUGAGGGAUAUCCAUGUGCAGGAUUGAUGAACCACAGUUCAGCAAACGAUGCCUUGACAGACCAAUUCAAGGAGAACCUUCGCUAAGAUGAAGAAGGGAACGUGUUUACUGUGUGGAUGGGAAGGACACUUAAAUGUCCGUCAUUCUAAUAGACUAUUAUGACAAUAUUCUAAUUGACUAGAAUGACAAUCUUAACUCGAAAGGGACUCUCUGGACUUACAGAAAGCUACGGACAUAGAGCCCUGACAUGAUACCCUGCAGCCACCAUGAGGACAGCCUAUCUCAUACCUACAGAAGGAUGCCAUCACACGCAUGAUGAGCCGUCCCACAGAAGGGAGAAGGAUGUUGUUGACCCAGCACAUCCCAACCAUGCUCCCAUCGCCGUCAAGUAACAGUACGACGGUUAGAUUGUAUUUUGUCACCGUAGGCUUUAUCGUUUUAUCAAAAUAUCUGAUUGAAAGGUGAUUUAAUGAAAAUUCAAAUUUUUCUGAUGGUGAGAAGGCAAAUAUUUACUCUGCUUAUGACAAGCAUAGAUUGUUUUAAUCUAUGUUUGGUUAUGAUCAUGACUUGUGCCAUGGUUCAAAAUCUUACACUUUUCAAAGAAGGGAUUGAAAUUAUCAUUAUGGCUUGUUUAUGGCUAACAAGGGAGCCAAUGGUCGCUCCAGAACCCAAACAAAAUAAUUUUCAAGCUAAGUUUUGUUCUUAAGAUAAGAAGGAAUAACAAUUUGGGGGAUGGGUUGUUUGUGGCUACCAGAGAAGCCAACAGCUGCCAGAUGAGGACCCUGAAAUUCUUUUCAGGCAAAAGUUAUUUGUAUGCUUAAAAAUCACCGAAUUCAUCAGAUAUUUACUGGUAUAUCCAUCACUUUUGACAUGGGGUCCAUGUGUUCUUGUUUCGCUGACCCCACGAAACAAGAACACAUGUGUCUGAUGGAACUGUAGGCCUUUCAUACUGUUUCUCAAUCUCAUCAGUACCACAGAAUCAACUGACAUGGCCUGGGCUCUGAUGCCCAUGACCUUACAUCACACUGGCUGGUUCAGUUGCUCAAUACAUGUACUAUCAUGCUCGAGACAAAUGACCAACAGUGAAUUGUUGAAUUUGAAUUUCCUCCUUGAAGAAAUACCAAAACAUCUUUCCAGUUGAACUAAAACAGUCAGAUUUAAAACUCUCACUGUUUUAUUCGAAAUUUAAAGACUGAUCCUUCCCUAGUGGUCACACUGUGAGCCGUUGUCAAAGCAUGUCAUUCGACAAUGGUGGCAUGCAUGCAUGUUUUGUUAUGGCUUACCAGGGACCCCAAAUUGUUGAUGAUGAUGUUGUCCAUGGGUACAUCACCUUGGGCAAUGAGUGAUCACAAUGGUUCCUUGAUGACAAUUUUUUACAUGAUACUGAAUUGAUUGAGAAAAGUGUAGCUUAAAAACGUCAACUUUUAGACGUUUUAAAACUUUUGUCCUGUAUGAAUGUAUUUGUAAAUCUUGCAUGAAAUAUUUUGUAAAAUGUCUAAUGAGAUCUAGACUCCAUGACUUGGCAAAAAGUAUGGCAAAGCCAACUUUUAAUCUUUGCCCUGUCGAGGUCACCUCUUUUGUCAUGCAAACGACAUGUCAUAACUGCUCCCUUUGUUAUGCUAAGUGGCAGCCAGCUCUGUCCAGUGGCCAUGACAAAUGUGGUUCCUUUGUUAUUCAAAUCAUCAGCAGUGACCAAAUCUAUUGUAAGCUCACAUGGCUCACCUGAAGGCAUGAACAAUAGGUUUUAAUACAACAGCUAUUCAUGUAUUAUAAACAUGAUGAAUGCAUGGAGAGGUUUAGUGCUAACUCAAACCAUUGUGGUGGAGUACAUGUAGUUGAGUCUAUUGUUUUUUAUCUCAAUUUAGCAUUGUGUUGCAAGGACACUUAUCAGUGUUUCUUUGUGACAUCUUGUGAAGAAGUUGACCACGUCUUAAAGGGAUAGAAAAACUAUCAUAUCUCCCGGUCCUCUUCUUGUAUUGGGCUUUCGGAGUGGUGCAGCCAAAAAAUAAUGUACUACGAUCAUUGUAUGAACUAUAAUAUACAAUGUAUUAAGUCAUUUCAAACAUAAGCACCUGUCACCUGUGUGAUGGAGAUGGCGACUCCCUCCGACUGCGUAGGUUUUCUCCCGGUAUGCGGGUUUCCUCCUACACUACAUUCCAAAUCGUCAUCUGUUUUCUUUGUAAUGUACAGCAAUAAAGUUUUUUUGAAAGAGAAA